This 441-nucleotide ribosomal RNA is filed under the name uncultured bacterium. Its description in RNAcentral is "partial 16S ribosomal RNA". It matches the Rfam family "Bacterial small subunit ribosomal RNA", at positions 338 to 795 of the family's 1533-position model. The record is from RNAcentral.
CCUACGGGGGGCAGCAGUGGGGAAUAUUGCACAAUGGGGGAAACCCUGAUGCAGCAACGCCGCGUGAAGGAAGACGGUUUUCGGAUUGUAAACUUCUGUUCUUAGUGAAGAAUAAUGACGGUAGCUAAGGAGCAAGCCACGGCUAACUACGUGCCAGCAGCCGCGGUAAUACGUAGGUGGCAAGCGUUGUCCGGAAUUACUGGGUGUAAAGGGAGCGCAGGCGGGAAGCCAAGUCAGCUGUGAAAACUACGGGCGUAACUUGUAGACUGCAGUUGAAACUGGUUUUCUUGAGUGAAGUAGAGGUAGGCGGAAGGCAGAGUGGAGCGGUGAAAUGCGUAGAUAUUGAGAAGAACAACGGUGGAGAAGGCGGCCAACAGGGGGUGAACUGACGCUGAGGCACGAAAGUGUGGGGAGCAAACAGGAUUAGAUACCCCAGUAGUC